UUUGAUCCUGGCUCAGGAUGAACGCUGGCGGCGUGCCUAAGGCAUGCAAGUCGUGGGAUCGGCCUAGUUUUUCUUCGGAAUUAUGAGGUACGGACCGGCAAACGGGAGAGUAACACACUGAUAACUUACCUUCGAGACGGGAAUAGCUCACCGAAAGGUGGAUUAAUGCCCGAUAGGCAUGGGGGGACAUGAAGUCAUUCCUAUGUAAAUCCGCCAUCUGGCGGAGCUCGAAGAGAGGUCUAUGUCUGAUUAGCUUGUUGGUAGGGUAAUGGCCUACCAAGGCGAUGAUCAGUACCGGGCGUGAGAGCGUGACCCGGCUCACUGGGACUGAGACACUGCCCAGACACCUACGGGUGGCUGCAGUCAGGAAUAUUCCACAAUGCACGAAAGUGUGAUGGAGCGACGCCGCGUGCAGGAAGACGCCCUUCGGGGUGUAAACUGCUUUUCUCAGGGAAGAAACUAUGACGGUACCUGAGGAAUAAGAGGUUGCAAACUCUGUGCCAGCAGCAGCGGUAAUACAGAGACCUCAAGCGUUAUCCGGAUUCAUUGGGCGUAAAGCGUCCGCAGGUGGUUUUUUAAGUUGAUAGUCAAAUCUUCGGGCUUAACCUGGAGACUGCUGUCAAUACUGGGAAACUUGAGGCUGGGAGAGGCACACGGAACUGUUGGUGUAGUAGUAAAAUGCGUUGAUAUCAACAGGAACACCAAAGGCGAAGGCAGUGUGCUGGAACAGUUCUGACACUCAUGGACGAAA
This 751-nucleotide ribosomal RNA is filed under the name uncultured bacterium. RNAcentral describes it as "bacterial SSU rRNA". It matches the Rfam family "Bacterial small subunit ribosomal RNA", at positions 12 to 758 of the family's 1533-position model. The record is from RNAcentral.